AUGCAGUCGAGCGGAUGAGAGGAGCUUGCUCCUCGAUUCAGCGGCGGACGGGUGAGUAAUGCCUAGGAAUCUGCCUAGUAGUGGGGGACAACGUUUCGAAAGGAACGCUAAUACCGCAUACGUCCUACGGGAGAAAGUGGGGGAUCUUCGGACCUCACGCUAUUAGAUGAGCCUAGGUCGGAUUAGCUAGUUGGUAGGGUAAAGGCCUACCAAGGCGACGAUCCGUAACUGGUCUGAGAGGAUGAUCAGUCACACUGGAACUGAGACACGGUCCAGACUCCUACGGGAGGCAGCAGUGG
RNAcentral lists this ribosomal RNA (299 nucleotides) under Pseudomonas oryzihabitans. RNAcentral describes it as "partial 16S ribosomal RNA". It matches the Rfam family "Bacterial small subunit ribosomal RNA", at positions 55 to 357 of the family's 1533-position model. Lineage: Bacteria; Pseudomonadati; Pseudomonadota; Gammaproteobacteria; Pseudomonadales; Pseudomonadaceae. The record is from RNAcentral.